UGGGGAAUCUUCCGCAAUGGACGAAAGUCUGACGGAGCAACGCCGCGUGAGUGAAGAAGGUUUUCGGAUCGUAAAACUCUGUCUUUUGGGGCGAACGUGAGUAUGGUGAACAAUCAUAGUCAGUGACGGUACCAAAGGAGGAAGCCACGGCUAACUACGUGCCAGCAGCCGCGGUAAUACGUAGGUGGCAAGCGUUGUCCGGAAUUAUUGGGCGUAAAGAGCGCGUAGGCGGGAUAGUCAGUCUGUUGUAAAAGUGCGGGGCUCAACCCCGUGAUCGCAAUGGAAACAGCUAUUCUUGAGUGCAGGAGAGGAAAGUGGAAUUCCCAGUGUAGCGGUGAAAUGCGUAGAUAUUGGGAGGAACACCAGUGGCGAAGGCGACUUUCUGGACUGUGUCUGACGCUGAGGCGCGAAAGCCAGGGGAGCGAACGGGAUUAGAUACCCCGGUAGUCCUGGCCGUAAACGAUGGGUACUAGGUGUGGGAGGUAUCGACCCCUUCCGUGCCGGAGUUAACGCAAUAAGUACCCCGCCUGGGGAGUACGGUCGCAAGACUGAAACUCAAAGGAAUUGACGGGGGUCAUAGCUGUUUCCUG
This 590-nucleotide ribosomal RNA is filed under the name uncultured bacterium. Its description in RNAcentral is "partial 16S ribosomal RNA". It matches the Rfam family "Bacterial small subunit ribosomal RNA", at positions 355 to 941 of the family's 1533-position model. The record is from RNAcentral.